This 803-nucleotide ribosomal RNA is filed under the name uncultured bacterium. Its description in RNAcentral is "bacterial SSU rRNA". It matches the Rfam family "Bacterial small subunit ribosomal RNA", at positions 8 to 916 of the family's 1533-position model. The record is from RNAcentral.
AGAGUUUGAUCCUGGCUCAGGAUGAACGCUAGCGGCAGCUAAUACAUGCAAGGCGACUGUCGUACGGGUGCGUAACGCGUAUGCACCUACCUAUCACUGGGGGAUAGCCGGGGAAACCAUUAAUACCGCAUAAAACGCAUGUAAAGAUUGCUGAUAGAUGGGCAUGCGUUCCAUUAGGUAGUUGGUGGGUAACGGUCACCAAGCCGACGAUGGAUAGGGGAACUGAAGGUUGGUCCCCCACACUGGUACUGAGACACGGACCAGACUCUACGGGAGGCAGCAGUGAGGAAUAUUGGUCAAUGGGCGGGAGCCUGAACCAGCCAAGUCGCGUGAAGGAAGAAGAUAUGGUUCGUAAACUUCUUUUGCAGGGGAAUACGUUGUAUGUACCCUGAGAAUAAGGAUCGGCUAACUCCGUGCCGCAGCCGCGGUAAUACGGAGGAUCCGAGCGUUAUCCGGAUUUAUUGGGUUUAAAGGGUGCGUAGGUGGUUGAUAAGUCAGCGGUGAAAGUUUCAGCUUAACUGAAAAAUGCCGUUGAAACUGUCGACUUGAGUGUAAAUGAGGUAGGCGGAAUCGUGGUGUAGCGGUGAAAUGCAUAGAUAUCACGAGAACUCCGAUUGCGGAGGCAGCUUACUAAGCUACAACUGACACUGAAGCACGAAAGCGUGGGGAUCAAACAGGAUUAGAUACCCUGGUAGUCCACGCAGUAAACGAUGAUUACUAGCUGUUUGCGUAAGCGGCCAGCGAAAGCGUUAAGUAACCACCUGGGGAGUACGCCGGCAAGGUAAACUCAAAGGAAUUGACGG